CCUACGGGUGGCAGCAGUGGGGAAUAUUGCACAAUGGGCGAAACCCUGAUGCAGCGACGCCGCGUGAGUGAAGAAGUAAUUCUUUAUGUAAAGCUCUAUCAGCAGGGAAGAAAAUGACGGUACCUGAGUAAGAAUCCCCGGCUAACUACGUGCCAGCAGCCGCGGUAAUAUGUAGGGGGCAAGCGUAAUCCGGAUUUACUGGGUGUAAAGGGAGCGUAGACGGGAGUGCAAGUCUGGAGUGAAAGGCGGGGGCUCAACCCCCGGACUGCUCUGGAAACUGUACGGCUGGAGUGCAGGAGAGGUAGGUGGAAUUCCUAGUGUAGCGGUGAAAUGCGUAGAUAUUAGGAAGAACACCAGUGGCGAAGGCAGCUUACUGGACUGUAACUGACGUUGAGGCUCGAAAGCGUGGGGAGCAAACAGGAUUAGAUACCCUUGUAGUC
This 440-nucleotide ribosomal RNA is filed under the name uncultured bacterium. Its description in RNAcentral is "partial 16S ribosomal RNA". It matches the Rfam family "Bacterial small subunit ribosomal RNA", at positions 338 to 795 of the family's 1533-position model. The record is from RNAcentral.